This 433-nucleotide ribosomal RNA is filed under the name uncultured bacterium. RNAcentral's name for it is "partial 16S ribosomal RNA". It matches the Rfam family "Bacterial small subunit ribosomal RNA", at positions 29 to 507 of the family's 1533-position model. The record is from RNAcentral.
AACGAACGCUGGCGGCAUGCCUAACACAUGCAAGUCGAACGAGACCUUCGGGUCUUUUGGCGCACGGGUUCGUAACGCGUGGGAACCUUCCCUUAUGUUCGGAAUACCUCCCCGAAUGGGGUGCUAAUACCGGAUAAUGUCUUCGGACCAAAGAUUUAUCGCCUUUGGAUGGGCCCGCGUUGGAUUAGCUAGUUGGUAGGGUAAAAGCAUACCAAGGCGAGGAUCCAUAGCUGGUAUGAGAGAAUGAUCAGCCACACUGGGACUGAGACACGGCCCAGACUCCUACGGGAGGCAGGAGAGGGGAAUAGAGGAAAAUGGGGGAAAGCAUGAAGAAGCAAGGCCGGGAGAGUGAUGAAGGCCGGAGGGAAGUAAAGCUCUAGUAACCGGGAAGAUAAUGACAGUACCGGGAGAAAAAGCACCGGCUAACUACGUG